UUCCAUGUCGUUGCCCAUUAUAAGUUAAUAACCCAGCCCAAAAUCAAUCUCUCGUUGCCCUUAACAACUACAAAAAAGGCGGAAAAACAAAAACCCGCAUAUUAUUUUCCCACUACUCCAUGAACUGAGUAACCACUCCUCCCUGUCUUCCCCUCUCGCUCUUCCUCUUGCAGACAUGAAUCCUCCAUUUAUUCUCCAAGAAAAUUACCAAGUGAAUUACGAAUUCCUUCUUUUCGGUUAAUUUGAAGAUAAAUUGCAGCGCUCAAACCCCAAUUUAAUUAAAUUUUCUAAUUUUUUUUGAAAAACAUAUUACAUGGUGGGAGGUUGGGAAUUCGACAGCGAGGUCAAGAGAAUCGGGCACCGCUCUUCUUCGAGAGAUUGGAAAUCCACUUCCAUGCAGAAACAACAAUUUAAAACUUUCAUUUAUUUGCUCUGAGUUGAGGCCUAAGAGCAUCGGUGUUUAUACAGGUAAACGAGCUGUAUUUUCAUUCUGUUUACACUGCAAACUGAUUACAAUUUACGACUAUUUGAGAGGCUAAUUCUCUCUUUUUCUAGGAAACGAAAGAGCCAUACUUCUAAUUGUUCUUAAUUGUAGCUCAUAUGAUAGGUUGAUAACAACUUCCGUGUGCAUCUGUUUUAGCAUUGCUUGUUUCAUUAGACAAAUUUUUGCAAGUUGUGAUCUUGUUUUAUUUUAUCUAUGAGUGUCUAUACAACGAGUAUAUGACAUGUUUACUUCAGAAACUUAUGCAUGACAUGUGCUUGUAUUUAAAAAAAAAGGUUUAGAUUUUAGACUCAUUCUAUCAUUCAUAUUAGCCUGGGGGGAACAUGGAGUAAGAUUAACGAAGGCUUUAUUACUGAUGAGAUAUGCAAUAGUAGUGUUUAAGAGAUAUGCAAUAGUAGUGUUUAAGAGAGAUGCAAUAGUCAGUCUAACAUAUGAUGACAAUUAUCCUCGGCUUUUUACCUGAUAUAAACUUGUAAUUAGUUUCCUAGUUCACUUAUUCAAAAUUCAUCUUGGGUUUUAGUCUUGGUAUAGUUCGUUUACCUGGCAUCGUGUUGAUUUACUGAGUGUUUCCUUAAGCAUUAAAAUACAUUUGAUCACUUUAGAUAUCUGAUCAAGGGGAAAACUAGGUCGUUAGUAGUCUCUCCUAAUCAAACAAAAACCUAAACUAAUCACUAAACACAAGUAAAGCGAUAAGUAAGGGUCGAAAUCCACAAGGACUAAGGUGCACUAGAUUAUGCUAAUCGAACAACAAGCUAGGUCGAAACGAGUUGGAAAGUCAACUAACCACCUAAAACUAAAUCAACUAAACUAACUACCAAAUACAAACGAGGUUAGGGAAUGGGGAUCAAACGACAACCGAUCAUGAUACAAGCAUAAGAGGACCGAAACUAGGGACGAUAAUGCAUAAACACUACAUGAAUGAAAUGUUGGUUCAAUUAUGGACUCCAAUCAUCUCCCGAGGCGAAUCCUUUCUUAGGAUGACAAAAUGCGGACUCACAUCCUACACUCUAUCACUCUUAGGUAAAUUAAACUUCAACCAACAAAUAGUCAACACAAAGUCACAAUCCCUUGAUUUUCCAAGGCCGACUACCCCGAUUUCAAUGCUACACACAAGUGAUCAAUUCAUAUGCAACAAAGCUUGAGUACAUUCAAACAUGGAAUAAUUUAAUCAUGCAAAAUCUAUAAUUUCGAACUCAAAUCCCCAAAUCAAUCAUGGUUGAGUUUUCACCCAAACCCUAACCAACAACACUACUCCAUAAACAUAAAAAUAGGAAAUUUAAUGAAAUUAACAACUAAAAACAUGAUUCUAAACAUUAAUAACAACUAAUCUAAACAUGAAUCAUUAAACUAAACCAAAACAAUUAAACUAAUUAAAACGAUAAAUAAAACAAUAAAUAAAGAAAUAAAUGAGGAGAGAGAGUAAGAAAUUUCUCAUUGAUUAAUAGUGGAAAUCUUGAACAAAAUUGCCACACUUGAAUUCAAAACCCCCAAUUUUCAUUGAUUAUUUCUCACUUUAUCUCUCUAAAAGAUAAACUAAACUAAACUAAAACCCUAAAAAUGUUCUAACUAUUUACAUGGUUAAGAAGUUGGUUCCUAAAUUCUAUUUAUACUACUCUAACUAAAAGAAAGAAAGGAUGAAAAAAGAAAAAGAAAAAGAAAAAGAAAUUGUAAAACUUAAAAAAAGGGAUUAAAAGUAAGGAGAAAGAAUUAAAAGAAGAUUAAAAGAAAAGGAAAAUAAAAUAAAAAGGAAUCUAAAGAAACAUAAGAAUCAAAAUGCCCAAAGCAAACCAACUCAGCCCCUGCACUUCGUCUUCUCCUUUGUCCCUUUCUUCGUUGCUUCAAUUGGAAGCAGCUUCUGGUGCUCCCUCCUCCAUCUUCUUCAAUCAUCAUCGUCCAUCAUUAUCAAUCAUCAAUCCUCAAUUGUUCCUCGCCGUUCGAUCAUCUCACGCAUCAUCAUCAUCACUCAUCACGCAUCGAUCAUCACCGUCCAUUGUCAAUUCAAUCGCAGCCAUAGAAUUUCAUUAAUCCGUACUAGAACUUGAGCGCUCAAAUGUUCGGUCGAACAUAAGGGAGGUUCGGCCGAACCUCAGACUUGGAGGAACUCUAAAUUUUCGGUUCGGUCGAACUCCGUUACGGAUUCGGUCGAACCCGAAUUGUUCUAUUUUUGCUCUGCUUUUUGCUUUGUUUUGGAUGAUUUGCUGUGCCAUUUUCAUGGCUGAUUUAUGUUGUUGGUGGACAAAGAUGAUGACACUGAUGUUGGUGUUGCGGUGACUGAGAGAUGGUGGUGAGUGGAAUGAUAUGGGUUGUUGGUCAUGGGCUGUUGCUAUGCUAUGGUGCUGUUUUGGUUAGGCUCGUGGUUGAGAGAUGGUGGAGUUGGGGAGGUGUGGUGGCUUCUGAUGUGGUGUAGGAUAGAAGAGAGGGUGGUGUAGGAUAAGGAGGAUGUGAAGCUCUUUGCUUUGUUGCUCUCAAAGUCAAGUUUUACUUUUCUUGACAAAGUAACGCAAUGCAAUUGAUUUGAACUUGUACCCCGGACACUCCGAACAACAUACACCUACAAAAUUAAAAUUAAAAACGAGGGGAGAACGAAAUAAUAUAAAAUAAAAUACGAGUAACUAGAAAUAGAAAUAAAAAUAGAAAUAAAUUAUUAAAAAUAACUACUUAAACUAUAAAAUUAUCAAAACCAAUAAAACAAACAAAAUACGAAAUUAAUAAUUAAAAACAAAGAAAAAUCACUAAUUACGCUAAUUAAGCUACAAAAUAUAAAAUAAAAUAAAUAAAGGCUAAAAAUGAUAAAAUUAGAUAAAUAUAUAAUAAAAUAACCUAGAAAAACACCUAAGAACUACCCCUAAGAGUGACAUAAAUGUCACUCAUCAAUAUCAGGAUGAAUAUUUUUGAGUGUUUCCUUUAGCAUUAAAAUGCAUAUGAUCACUAUUCUUUCUAUAUGAACCAAUGCCUAUAACGUUCUGUUAGUGAGUUCGAACUUGGUAAUUUUUAAAGAUCUUACUUAAUCUUACAUCUUAAUAAAAUAGGUCUUGGUGAUAAUGUCUACUACAAUUAUUCCAAUCACGAAUUACCUGUCAUAUGCAAAUUUUAUCUUUCAUUAAUUAAUGAUUGUAUAUUAUUGUAUGUUUCUUGCAUCAUUAAAGAAUAUGUUUUAGUGAAAUAAGUGUUUUGUAAUUUAACCUUUAGCUUAAUGUAAAAAGGGAAUCUUAAUGCUUCAAGGUUUGGGUCUAUAGAAUGUAUACAAUUUUAUUUUUAUAAAUGAAUGAUGUUCUUUACAUCCUUGAGUGUUUUAUAAAUUAAUGACGAAUUUUAGGUUUUAAUUACAUAUAAGGUACAUUGUUUUCUCCUUGUAGCGUUUAUAUGAGCAUUAUUGCUUGUGUGUCUACAUACCCCUUAUACAUAUAACUUUUUCUUGAAUCUAAUGUAACUAAUAAGUUCGUUUACUUUUAUUUUUUUAAUAUUUUUUUAUUUUACUUGAUUUAAAGAAUGAUUAGAGAUCGGUCUUGGAUGAAUCACAAUGGGAUAAGUAUAGACGAAAAACAACGUACAAAUUAGGGGUUGAUGAUUUUCUACAGUUUGCUUUCAAGAAAAAAAGUAACGAUACACCGUUGAAAUGUCCUUGCUUGAAAUGUAGAUUGCUUUUAGCCCAAAAUCUAAAAGACAUGCAAUGUCACUUACUAGUAUAUGGUAUCGAUAGUAGUUAUAAUCCAUGGGUUAGUCACGGAGAAAACGAUGAGCAAUGUGAUAAUAGUGAUGAAGCUGACAUAGAGGCGACCGAGGAGAAUGAGGAAACUGAAAUGCCCUUUGACAACAUGGCUCCAUUGAUUUUUGAUGCAACAAAUGCAUGGAAUUCAACUUCUUCGGUGUUGGACGAUAAUGAAAAUACUAGUGAUGAUGG
Molecule: long non-coding RNA, 4403 nt
Organism: Spinacia oleracea (spinach)
Lineage: Eukaryota; Viridiplantae; Streptophyta; Magnoliopsida; Caryophyllales; Amaranthaceae
Exons: 3
Source: RefSeq, a predicted model, not a curated record